GAACUGAAGAGUUUGAUCAUGGCUCAGAUUGAACGCUGGCGGCAGGCCUAACACAUGCAAGUCGAGCGGUAGAGAGAAGCU
This 81-nucleotide ribosomal RNA is filed under the name Pseudomonas fluorescens. Its description in RNAcentral is "partial 16S ribosomal RNA". It matches the Rfam family "Bacterial small subunit ribosomal RNA", at positions 1 to 81 of the family's 1533-position model. The record is from RNAcentral. Lineage: Bacteria; Pseudomonadati; Pseudomonadota; Gammaproteobacteria; Pseudomonadales; Pseudomonadaceae. RNAcentral also lists the same sequence under 2 other names.